CCGCAUCACUUGGGGUGCCGAUACCGGCUGAGAGGACCCGGCCCAGAGGGGGCUGCAGUGUCCAACCCAUUGAACCUGAACUGGUUAGCACCAGCGGAGGGAAUGUGAUGGACAAAGCAG
This 120-nucleotide non-coding RNA is filed under the name Deinococcus proteolyticus. Its description in RNAcentral is "TPP sequence". It matches the Rfam family "TPP riboswitch aptamer (THI element)". Rfam says of the family: Vitamin B(1) in its active form thiamin pyrophosphate (TPP) is an essential coenzyme that is synthesised by coupling of pyrimidine and thiazole moieties in bacteria. The previously detected thiamin-regulatory element, thi box was extended, resulting in a new, highly conserved RNA secondary structure, the THI element, which is widely distributed in eubacteria and also occurs in some archaea. Analysis of operon structures identified a large number of new candidate thiamin-regulated genes, mostly transporters, in various prokaryotic organisms. Lineage: Bacteria; Thermotogati; Deinococcota; Deinococci; Deinococcales; Deinococcaceae. The record is from RNAcentral. RNAcentral also lists the same sequence under 1 other name.